AAUUAAAUGAAAACUCUGAUUCUCUUCUCUCUCCCUAAGAUUUUUUAUUAAUAAAGAUACGAGGGUUUGUUUUCGGUCCACUUCCUGGUGGUCAAAUUAAAAAACCGUUUUCGUUUAUAAAAAGAAUCCCGGGGCUGAUAAUUUAAACCCUAACCCGAACCCCAAUUCACCGAAAACUCCAAGUGGAGGUUCUGCUACUACGUUGCAAUUUGCAAGUUUAAGGGAAAUCAGAUGGAUUUGGAUGAUCGUAUCGUGCAAUUGGAGAAAGAGAAACAAGAGACUCUGGAGCAGCACGCCAAACGGCCUUGUGUCAGAGGCAAUACCUCCUCCGAAGAAGAAGAUGAAGAGAAAGUUGUUGAGGAUACGGCUGCCUCUGACGAAGAAGAAGAUGAGGAAGAGACAGAAGAUGAUACUGAUUCCGAUUCUGAUUCCGAAUAUGUGCCGUUUACGCCUAGACGUUUAAUGACUGAUGAAGAAAUUCGUGAACAUCGGAGGCAGGUUGCUGAAAGCAACGGAUUCGAUGUUGAUUGGUUUGAAGGCAUUCUACCUGGUUCAAUUAAGCCCUAUACCUUGACCGAAGCAAACCGCCCUCCAUUGAUAGAUUUUUCCAAGCAAGCUUUGAAAGUCUACAAUGAGAGCAAUAAUACAACUUUUAUAUUUGAUAAGCUUAUCAAAUCAAAUGCUCAAUGUGUUGCUGGCACAAUGUUCUACAUUACUUUUGGGGCGCAAUCUGGCAAUAUACAUGGAACCUUUCGUGCUAGGGUCUGGAAAAAGAUAAUGAACGAAGGUUCGCAGGUUAUGUCUUGUGAGAAGUAUAUUGAGGAGCAUGUGUGAGUUUGUCAGCUCGCGUGGUGUUCUACUUUGCUCGCGCCGUAUUCUUUUGCUCACAUUGCGUUCUGCUAUAGUUUGGUCUGAUGUGUUCUUCUACCCGCGCUGUUCUGAAACUUACUGCUCUUCUCCACCAUUUUGAAAUCUCUUGACUUGCGCUGCUGUUGCCGUUUCUACCUGCGCUGCCGGAUCCGCCGCUGCUGUAAUCCCUCUUCUCCGCCUUGCGCUGCCUGAGUCGUCUCUGGUCGUCGUCGCUGCUCGAUGGUUGUUGGCGGCUCGCCAAUGCAUCACGUCCUUGCUGCUCUGCCUGAGCUGUCUCUGCUGUAAUCCUUACUGACCACUGCAAUCAUGUCUCAGUGUUUUCCCUAGCUUGUGGUUAGUAUGGGCAACUGCAGAAGCUUUCAGAGUUGCUGAUGCUCCUGCCAAGGUUUUCUUUCUUCUGAUGGAAAACAAUGAGGAGAUUCUUCCAUUUUGCACACAGAUUCUCCAGUUCCAGGCUCAGUGACUGUCGAGGCGAAGUGUUCGAUACGUCCGUGCGUCAAACUUCCUGUGUUGCUGGGACCUCCUCCACUUGUUGAGGAUUGGGGGUGUGUUCCUUCAUUAGAGAAGCUGGAACUUAGCUCACAGAAGUGGUCUAAUUUUUUCACUUAUUUUCCUAUGCAUAUUUAGAAGUGGUCUAAAUUAUUAGAGUUAAUUAGUGGGUUGAAGAACAUGUCUCAGUUUAUAUAAGAACUCUUUUCAUAAAUAUAUUUAACAAAAAUGUAGUGCCACUGCCACCUAAAGAGGGUUUUGUCACUCAUCCUUACAAGAGCUCAAGGUAACUAAUAAUAAUAAAUAGCAUCUUUGUAAUUUAUAUAUGGAAGUUAGUUAAUCAAGUAGUAUUGGCUGCAAAUUCAAAGAAAUUAAAGCACUAACUAGUUGAAUUGCUGAUACAUGUGGCAGAGAAGUAUGACAAAAAAGGCAAGAGGUAUUGGGAUGUCUUCUACAAGUACCAAAAGGACAAG
Molecule: RNA transcript, 1832 nt
Organism: Arachis stenosperma
Lineage: Eukaryota; Viridiplantae; Streptophyta; Magnoliopsida; Fabales; Fabaceae
Exons: 7
Source: RefSeq, a predicted model, not a curated record